Molecule: ribosomal RNA, 875 nt
Filed under: uncultured bacterium
Lineage: Bacteria
Description: bacterial SSU rRNA
Rfam family: Bacterial small subunit ribosomal RNA
Source: RNAcentral
GGCUAGAGUUUGAUCAUGGCUCAGGAUAAACGCUGGCGGCGCACAUAAGACAUGCAAGUCGAACGGACUUAACCAUUAGUUUACUAUUGGAGCGGUUAGUGGCGGACUGGUGAGUAACACGUAAGCAACCUGCCUAUCAGAGGGGAACAACAGUUAGAAAUGACUGCUAAUACCGCAUAUGCCUAAGUACCACAUGGUACAAUAGGGAAAGGAGCAAUCCGCUGAUAGAUGGGCUUGCGUCUGAUUAGCUAGUUGGUGGGGUAAAGGCCUACCAAGGCGACGAUCAGUAGCCGGACUGAGAGGUUGAACGGCCACAUUGGGACUGAGAUACGGCCCAGACUCCUACGGGAGGCAGCAGUCGGGAAUAUUGCGCAAUGGAGGAAACUCUGACGCAGUGACGCCGCGUGCAGGAAGAAGGUUUUCGGAUUGUAAACUGCUUUAGACAGGGAAGAAAAAGGACAGUACCUGUAGAAUAAGCUCCGGCUAACUACGUGCCAGCAGCCGCGGUAAUACGUAGGGAGCGAGCGUUAUCCGGAUUUAUUGGGUGUAAAGGGUGCGUAGACGGGAAAAUAAGUUAGUUGUGAAAUCCCUCGGCUUAACUGAGGAACUGCAACUAAAACUGUUAUUCUUGAGUACUGGAGAGGAAAGUGGAAUUCCUAGUGUAGCGGUGAAAUGCGUAGAUAUUAGGAGGAACACCAGUGGCGAAGGCGACUUUCUGGACAGAAACUGACGUUGAGGCACGAAAGUGUGGGGAGCAAACAGGAUUAGAUACCCUGGUAGUCCACACCCGUAACGAUGGAUACUANGUGUAGGGUANUAUAAAUACUCUGUGCCGUCGCAAACGCAGUAAGUAUCCCACCUGGGGAGUACGGCCG